AGAACGAACGCUGGCGGCAUGCCUAACACAUGCAAGUCGAACGCUCUUGGGGCUUCGGUCUCAGGGGAGUGGCGCACGGGUGAGUAGCGCGUGGGAACCUGCCCUGUUGUGGGGGAUAACCGAGGGAAACUUCGGCUAAUACCGCAUAAGCCGGUUGUCUUGAAGGAGAUGGCCGGGAAAGAUUUAUCGCGACAGGAGGGGCCCGCGUCGGAUUAGCUAGUUGGUGGGGUAACGGCCCACCAAGGCGGUGAUCCGUAGCUGGUCUGAGAGGAUGAUCAGCCACACUGGGACUGAGACACGGCCCAGACUCCUACGGGAGGCAGCAGUGGGGGAAUAUUGGACAAUGGGCGCAAGCCUGAUCCAGCAAUGCCGCGUGAGUGAUGAAGGCCUUAGGGUUGUAAAGCUCUUUCGCCCGCGACGAUGAUGACGGUAGCGGGAGAAGAAGCCCAGCUAACUUCGUGCCAGCAGCCGC
Molecule: ribosomal RNA, 472 nt
Filed under: uncultured bacterium
Lineage: Bacteria
Description: SSU rRNA
Rfam family: Bacterial small subunit ribosomal RNA
Source: RNAcentral